UCUUGCCAGAUGUGCGUCCUCCUCUGUGCUGAACCUGAACCAGAGAAACUGGGUUCAAGAUUCGACUUCGCAUUCGAAAUGCUGAAGACGACUUCGAGUCGGUUAGUCCGCACCAGGAAUAUGGUGGCUAUGAUGUAUGACCCAAUGGACGGAUAAUGCAACUUCUGUCAGCCAUAUUACUGAUGGGCCGAUGACACCAGUCAGUGACACCCUUGCAGUGGCGGUAGGACAGACAAUUCCUCCUGCACUCUUUCACUCCUUUGCAUAUUUGAACUAUGGCAGGUCAGAUGUCCUCAGUUUCGCAUGCACACUCAUGCAAGGCGGACUAUCGCCCAAAUCCUUGUGGAACAAGGGUAAGA
Molecule: long non-coding RNA, 359 nt
Organism: Penaeus monodon (black tiger shrimp)
Lineage: Eukaryota; Metazoa; Arthropoda; Malacostraca; Decapoda; Penaeidae
Exons: 3
Source: RefSeq, a predicted model, not a curated record